This is an RNA transcript of Otolemur garnettii (small-eared galago), 245 nucleotides long. It is a transcript of the gene named 60S ribosomal protein L38 pseudogene, with no coding region annotated. Lineage: Eukaryota; Metazoa; Chordata; Mammalia; Primates; Galagidae. The record is from RefSeq and is a predicted model, not a curated record. The transcript has a single exon.
AUGCCUUGGAAAACUGAGGAAAUUAAGAACUUUCUGCUCAUAGCCAGAUAAAAGGAUGCCAAGUCUGUCAAGAUCAAGAAAAAUAAGGAUAAUGUGAAGCUUAAAGUUCGAUGCAGCAGAUACCUUUAUACCUUGGUCAUCACAGACAAAGAGAAGGCGGAGAAACUGAAGCAGUCUCUGCCCCCUGGUUUGGCAGUGAAGGAGCUGAAAUGAAGUAGACAUGCUGAUUUGAAUUGGAUUAGAUU